AUACUGCUGAGCUAGGGACCGGGAGAGGCCGAGGGUAUUCCCGGGGUAGGGGUGAAAUCCUGUAAUCCCGGGAGGACCACCUGUGGCGAAGGCGCUCGGCUGGAACGGGUCCGACGGUGAGGGACGAAGGCCUGGGGAGCGAACCGGAUUAGAUACCCGGGUAGUCCAGGCUGUAAACGAUGCGGGCUAGGUGUCACCGGAGCUACGAGCUCCGGUGGUGCCGGAGGGAAGCCGUUAAGCCCGCCGCCUGGGAAGUACGGCCGCAAGGCUGAAACUUAAAGGAAUUGGCGGGGGAGCACUACAACGGGUGGAGCCUGCGGUUUAAUUGGAUUCAACGCCGGGAAGCUUACCGGGGGAGACAGCGGGAUGAAGGUCGGGCUGAAGACCUUACCAGACUAGCUGAGAGGUGGUGCAUGGCCGCCGUCAGUUCGUACUGUGAAGCAUCCUGUUAAGUCAGGCAACGAGCGAGACCCGCGCCCUCAGUUGCCAGCGGGUCCCUUCGGGGACGCCGGGCACACUGAGGGGACUGCCGGCGCUAAGCCGGAGGAAGGUGCGGGCAACGGCAGGUCCGUAUGCCCCGAAUCCCCCGGGCUACACACGGGCUACAAUGGCCGGGACAAUGGGUACCGACCCCGAAAGGGGUGGGUAAUCUCCUAAACCCGGUCUAACCUGGGAUCGAGGGCUGCAACUCGCCCUCGUGAACCUGGAAUCCGUAGUAAUCGCGUCUC
Molecule: ribosomal RNA, 728 nt
Filed under: uncultured archaeon
Lineage: Archaea
Description: bacterial SSU rRNA
Rfam family: Archaeal small subunit ribosomal RNA
Source: RNAcentral